CAGCAGCCACGGGAACACGGAGGGAGCUAGCGUUGUUCGGAAUUACUGGGCGUAAAGCGCGCGUAGGCGGUUACUCAAGUCAGAGGUGAAAGCCCGGGGCUCAACCCCGGAACUGCCUUUGAAACUAGGUGACUAGAAUCUUGGAGAGGUCAGUGGAAUUCCGAGUGUAGAGGUGAAAUUCGUAGAUAUUCGGAAGAACACCAGUGGCGAAGGCGACUGACUGGACAAGUAUUGACGCUGAGGUGCGAAAGCGUGGGGAGCAAACAGGAUUAGAUACCCCUGUAGUCCCUGUCUCUUAUAC
RNAcentral lists this ribosomal RNA (301 nucleotides) under uncultured bacterium. RNAcentral's name for it is "partial 16S ribosomal RNA". It matches the Rfam family "Bacterial small subunit ribosomal RNA", at positions 509 to 807 of the family's 1533-position model. The record is from RNAcentral.